Molecule: non-coding RNA, 45 nt
Organism: Schistosoma mansoni
Lineage: Eukaryota; Metazoa; Platyhelminthes; Trematoda; Strigeidida; Schistosomatidae
Source: Rfam
AUCCAGCUGGUGAGUCCCAAAUAGGACGAAACACGCGUCCUGGAU